Molecule: unclassified non-coding RNA, 400 nt
Filed under: soil metagenome
Description: partial contains 5.8S ribosomal RNA, internal transcribed spacer 2, and large subunit ribosomal RNA
Rfam family: 5.8S ribosomal RNA (bases 1-122)
Source: RNAcentral
GAUGAAGAACGUAGCGAAAUGCGAUACUUGGUGUGAAUUGCAGAAUCCCGUGAACCAUCGAGUCUUUGAACGCAAGUUGCGCCUCAAGCCAUUAGGUUGAGGGCACGUCUGCCUGGGCGUCACAUAUCGUUGCCUGAUGCCAGUUUCCUCGUGAUGGGUGACUGUGCAGGGCGAAUGAUGGCUUCCCGUGAGCAUUGUUGCCUCAUGGUUGGUUGAAAAUUGAGUCCUUGGUAGGGAGCGCAGUGAUAGAUGGUGGUUGAGUGACGAACGAGACCCAAUCAUGUGAGACCCCUACCGAAUUUGGCCUUCAUGACCCACAUGCGUCUUUGGAACGCUCAUGACGAGACCUCAGGUCAGGCGGGGCUACCCGCUGAGUUUAAGCAUAUCAAUAAGCGGAGGA